RNAcentral lists this long non-coding RNA (1033 nucleotides) under Gadus morhua (Atlantic cod). RNAcentral's name for it is "lncRNA (ENSGMOG00000027760.1)". Lineage: Eukaryota; Metazoa; Chordata; Actinopteri; Gadiformes; Gadidae. The record is from RNAcentral.
AUGCUUCACACACACACACACACACACACACACACACACACACACACACACACACACACACACACACACACACACACACACACACACACACACACACACACAGUGGCGAACUUAGCCCUUUGGGGGCUCCAGGCGAACAGUCAUUUGGGGGCCCCUGCAUCUACCGGUCUCUUUGUUGACACACGUCAUUAGCAUCGCUGCUGGCUGAGCCAGAGCCACUUGGAAUGAAAGGAGCAGUAACGUGACAGCAAACGACGUUGACGGCUGCUCUUGAUCCGCCGACGGUCCCGCUGCCACUGCGGUGGCUGUAAAACAGCUGGAUAGCUUUGGCAGCUUUGAAAGAAAGUCCUGCCUUUGGUCUUUCUUUUUAUGUGACCCGCUUUCGUACGAUCGCUUCAUGUUUCACUCGAUUUAUGUCUCACUCGAUUUCUCUCUCUCUCUCUCUUACCGCUUACUGUUUUGAACUUGACAUAAUUUCCCCAUACGCAUGAUGAGCGUGAUGCGCGUAACAUGGAAUAGUCCAUGUAGUGCAGACUGAAGGGGGGUGCACACGGAAAGAUCGUCAAAACAUGAGUAAUAAUUAGACAUCCCGAUGCUACUAUUGUGAAGAGAUUUUUAUAAAAAUAAUAAAUAUGGGGACAAAAUAUAUGCAUUGGGGCCCUCUUGACCAGAUCAAUAUUGUAAAUAAGAAACUGGUCUUAAUGUUUUAUCGGGAAAAAUAAAGGUAAAAAAAAAAAAAAAUUUGGGGGCCCCAAAAACCUUCUAUGGGGCCCGGGGCUCCAGGCAAAUGCCUGGUUUGCCUAAUAGUACGGCCCGCCACUGCACACACACACACACACACACACACACACACAGCUAGCGUGUCUCUCUUCCACAUGCUAGUCUUCAUGAUUGGUGAAGCAUGUCAGCCAUGAUGAAGGCUGAGUCGAAUCAUGGGACAUUCAAACUGUCUGGUCCAUUCUAGUGUUGUCUGUACAAGGCACCAGAUCUCCCACUCCCUCCCGCUUUGGGACAAUGAGGGGGACGAUAGGAC